Aedes albopictus (Asian tiger mosquito) is the source of this 1950-nucleotide long non-coding RNA. RefSeq lists it as uncharacterized. NCBI's taxonomy places the organism in Eukaryota, Metazoa, Arthropoda, Insecta, Diptera, Culicidae. The transcript has 2 exons. The record is from RefSeq and is a predicted model, not a curated record.
CGUAAUUAAUGGACAGCCCCCAGGGAUUGUUAAAGAAAUUCUUUCAGGGAAUCUUUUGGAAACUCCUUGUAGAUUUCUUUAAAAAAAAAUCAUCCAGGAAAUCCUAAAGAAAUUUAGUCAGAUAUUAUUUCUCGAAAUCUUCUAGGAGUUCCUUUAGAUUUGAGAAUGUCCUUUAGGAAUUUCUGCAAGAAUUGCUUAAGAAAGUCUUGCAUGGAUAGCUUCCAAAAAUGUUGCAAGGAUUCAUUUAGAAAAUACUUCAACAAUUUCUUUUCAAAAAUCUUGCAUAGAUUGUUCCAGAAAUUCAUCUACAAAUUUCUUCAGAGUUUUUUUUAUAGAGAUUCCUCCACACAUUUUUCAAAGCAUUUAUCUAGAAAAUCUUCCACACAUUUUUCAAAGCAUUUAUCUUGAAAUUUUUCCAAAAUAUUCCAUGAUUUUUUUUUAGAAAAUGAUUCACGGAUACAUUGAGACAGAGACAUUCAGAACUGCUUCAAACAUUUCUCAAAAGCUUUCUAAAGAAUUUUCUUCAAAGGUUUGCUUUAGAAAUUGUACAAGAGAAAUUCCCAAGAUUUCUUCACAUUCCUUUAGACGUUUCUCCUAAAAAAAAAUGUUCCAAAGACUUCUUAAGAAAGUCUUAGAAAACCCUCCAAGGAUUCUUUUAGAAAUUGUUCUACAGAUUCUUUAAGAGAUUCUUACAAGGAUUCUUAUGAAAAGGCUGGAAGACAUCCUUGCAGAGAUUCCUGCAGAAAUUCCACCGGGUAUUCCUCUGUGUAUUUUCUGGGAAAUUUCUCCAAGAUUUCCUCCAGAAAUUAAUUGAAAAAAAAUAUUUAGGAUUUUUAGCAUGGGAUUUCUCUAGAAUUUAAAAAAAAAUCGAAUUUCUAUCUUACUCCUAGGUGGAUUGAUCCAAUUGGUGAUACAGUCGAGUCUCCUAUUAGACGCUGCCACCCACUUUACGCCCACCGCAAUUUCUCAGCUGUCUUGCUUCCAAUCCAGCUGAUUUUUUCAGAGCAGUUUGUGCUUAUUAGGUAUAGACUUCCAUCACAUACAAAAAAUGAACUUAAUUGGUUAGAAGACAGCCUGGAAAACGCGGUGAGCGUAAAGUGGGUGGCAGCGUCUAAUAGGAGACUCAACUGUAUCGUCAAAACAAGGGCGAUAUACCAAACAACCUCUUCAAAGACACUAUCCCUCUAAAAUCAUUUUUUCAUGCCCAAAAUAAUUUCGAUCACGAAAUUGAGCCUUCGGAAGCAGUGUGCACUCGGGAGAAGCCGAAAUAUCACCAUAGACUCUGAUACGUACAGUACCAAACAAAUACAUUCACUGGGGAUAGAAGAACCACCGCAUGAUGCAAUUCGAUGUAAACAUACCGAAAAGACACGUCAGUACAAUCCACACAAUCAGGUGCAAAAGGAAAGAAUGUUGUUUGUAUACCUGGUUGCCCUCAAAUGUUUCAAUGCUGUUUUAGAGUUUUUAUUGGCAUUUUUACGGAAAUCAUAGUACUUGUACAGUACCGUAAAUCACCACAUAUAACUACAAUACUAUACUUGUUUUUGAUGCGACAUUAACGAAAGAUUUAUGUACUCACCGAGAAAUUAACAGCUUCUUCCAUAUCCAUAUCACUUUCAAAGUAUCAUUUGCUGCACCUUUCCAAUAAUAGCACAAUUAUUUUUACACAGGUUCCCCGAAUCACUUCAAAAUAGUAAUGAUAGCCGAAUUUGAAUCGCAAUACCUGUAUCGAGUAUGAUCAAUGACUAAUGUAGGAUGCACCACAGUGUCAAGCCCUUCAAUCCAAAAUACACAAAGCGUUGUCGUAUCACGCACACCACUUCAUCAUUUUAAGCACUGUUUACAAAUCGCUGUGCUGGUAUGCAUGCAAGCACUAAACGAACCCCUCGCACAAGAUAAUGAUGCAACCUUUCACUGUGUUGGUUGUCGUCGUCGUCGUUCGUUGAUGAU